AAUAUUGGACAAUGGGGUGAACCCUGAUCCAGCCAUGCCGCGUGUUUGAAGAAGGUCUUCGGCUUGUAUAGCACUUUAAGCUGGGAGGAAGAGUUGUAGGCUAAUACCUUGCAAUUUUGACGUUACCAACUGAAUAAGCACCUGUUAACUUCGUGCCUGCAGCCGCGGCAAUACGAAGGGUGCAACCGUUAAUCGUAAUUACUGGGCGUAAAGAGCGCGUAGGUGGGUCGUUAAGUUGGAAGGGAAAGACCCGGGCUUAACCUGGGAAUUGCUUUCAAAACUGACGAGCUAGAGUACGGUAGAGGGUAGUGGAAUUUCCUGUGUAGCGGUGAAAUGCGUAGAUAUAGGAAGGAACAUCAGUGGCGAAGGCGACUACCUGGACUGAUACUGACACUGAGGUGCGAAAGCGUGGGGAGCAAACAGG
Molecule: ribosomal RNA, 424 nt
Filed under: uncultured bacterium
Lineage: Bacteria
Description: partial 16S ribosomal RNA
Rfam family: Bacterial small subunit ribosomal RNA
Source: RNAcentral